CACUCCUGCGGGAGGCAGCAGUGGGGAAUUUUGGACAAUGGGCGAAAGCCUGAUCCAGCAAUGCCGCGUGUGUGAAGAAGGCCUUCGGGUUGUAAAGCACUUUUGUCCGGAAAGAAAUCCUUGGCUCUAAUACAGUCGGGGGAUGACGGUACCGGAAGAAUAAGCACCGGCUAACUACGUGCCAGCAGCCGCGGUAAUACGUAGGGUGCGAGCGUUAAUCGGAAUUACUGGGCGUAAAGCGUGCGCAGGCGGUUUGCUAAGACCGAUGUGAAAUCCCCGGGCUCAACCUGGGAACUGCAUUGGUGACUGGCAGGCUAGAGUAUGGCAGAGGGGGGUAGAAUUCCACGUGUAGCAGUGAAAUGCGUAGAGAUGUGGAGGAAUACCGAUGGCGAAGGCAGCCCCCUGGGCCAAUACUGACGCUCAUGCACGAAAGCGUGGGGAGCAAACAGGAUUAGAUACCCUUGUAGUCCCAUG
RNAcentral lists this ribosomal RNA (474 nucleotides) under uncultured organism. RNAcentral describes it as "partial 16S ribosomal RNA". It matches the Rfam family "Bacterial small subunit ribosomal RNA", at positions 334 to 799 of the family's 1533-position model. The record is from RNAcentral.